This 349-nucleotide ribosomal RNA is filed under the name uncultured bacterium. RNAcentral's name for it is "bacterial SSU rRNA". It matches the Rfam family "Bacterial small subunit ribosomal RNA", at positions 917 to 1268 of the family's 1533-position model. The record is from RNAcentral.
GGGCCCGCACAAGCGGUGGAGUAUGUGGUUUAAUUCGAUGCAACGCGAAGAACCUUACCAGGGCUUAAAUGUGGUUUGACAGCUUUAGAGAUAGAGUUUUCUUCGGACAAAUCACAAGGUGCUGCAUGGUUGUCGUCAGCUCGUGCCGUGAGGUGUUGGGUUAAGUCCCGCAACGAGCGCAACCCUUGUCCUUAGUUACCAGCGGGUUAAGCCGGGAACUCUAAGGAUACUGCCAGUGACAAACUGGAGGAAGGCGGGGACGACGUCAAGUCAUCAUGCCCCUUACAUCCUGGGCUACACACGUACUACAAUGCUACGGACAAAGGGCAGCAAGUUCGCGAGGACAAGC